This 253-nucleotide ribosomal RNA is filed under the name uncultured bacterium. RNAcentral's name for it is "partial 16S ribosomal RNA". It matches the Rfam family "Bacterial small subunit ribosomal RNA", at positions 524 to 776 of the family's 1533-position model. The record is from RNAcentral.
GACAGAGGUGGCGAGCGUUGUUCGGAUUUAUUGGGCGUAAAGCGCACGCAGGCGGGUUGGUAAGUCAGAGGUGAAAGGUCACAGCUCAACUGUGACAUUGCCUUUGAUACUGCCUUUCUUGAGUGCAUGAGGGGGAAGCGGAAUUCCGGGUGUAGAGGUGAAAUUCGUAGAUAUCCGGAGGAACACCGGUGGCGAAGGCGGCUUCCUGGCAUGUAACUGACGCUCAGGUGCGAAAGCGUGGGGAGCAAACAGG